GGACUCAGUAACUCAGUUGGUCAAGCGCUGCACCGGAAUCGCAGUGCCGCAAGUUCAAUUCCUGCCAGAGGGCCG
This is a non-coding RNA of Paramuricea clavata, 75 nucleotides long. The record is from the annotation of a GenBank genome assembly. Lineage: Eukaryota; Metazoa; Cnidaria; Anthozoa; Malacalcyonacea; Plexauridae.